Molecule: long non-coding RNA, 314 nt
Filed under: Fukomys damarensis (Damara mole-rat)
Lineage: Eukaryota; Metazoa; Chordata; Mammalia; Rodentia; Bathyergidae
Description: lncRNA (ENSFDAG00000031691.1)
Source: RNAcentral
CUUUCACACGUGCUAGGUUCUUGCAGCGCAGGGGAACUCAGUGGGUGCCAUAGCCCCUGCACCUGACAGAGCAUUUGGGAGCCUCCCAGGAGCCCACGGACACAGCCUAACAAUGGGAGAGGCUGAGACCCAGUCCUGGGAGCUGUGGUGGCUGCCACGGUCAGCUCUGGCACUGGCCUGUCUCGCAGCAGAUGCCCCUCCCUCUGCCCACCUUGGCUGGAGCAUCAGCGAGACCGAACUCCGGGACUGUGAGUGUGGGUGGCCGGGAGCCUCCAGCAGGGACCCAGGUACUUUUUCUGGCUGCCCAAUACCAC